This 490-nucleotide ribosomal RNA is filed under the name uncultured bacterium. RNAcentral describes it as "partial 16S ribosomal RNA". It matches the Rfam family "Bacterial small subunit ribosomal RNA", at positions 30 to 507 of the family's 1533-position model. The record is from RNAcentral.
AUUGAACGCUGGCGGCAGGCCUAACACAUGCAAGUCGAACGGUAACAGGAAGCAGCUUGCUGCUUUGCUGACGAGUGGCGGACGGGUGAGUAAUGUCUGGGAAACUGCCUGAUGGAGGGGGAUAACUACUGGAAACGGUAGCUAAUACCGCAUAACGUCGCAAGACCAAAGAGGGGGACCUUAGGGCCUCUUGCCAUCGGAUGUGCCCAGAUGGGAUUAGCUAGUAGGUGGGGUAACGGCUCACCUAGGCGACGAUCCCUAGCUGGUCUGAGAGGAUGACCCGCCACACUGGAACUGGAGCACGGUCCAGACUCCUACGGGAGGCAGCAGUGGGGAAUAUUGCACAAAGGGCGCAAGCCUGAUGCAGCCAUGCCGCGUGUAUGAAGAAGGCCUUCGGGUUGUAAAGUACUUUCAGCGGGGAGGAAGGGAGUAAAGUUAAUACCUUUGCUCAUUGACGUUACCCGCAGAAGAAGCACCGGCUAACUCCGUG